Long non-coding RNA from Gigantopelta aegis, 721 nucleotides. RefSeq lists it as uncharacterized. The record is from RefSeq and is a predicted model, not a curated record. The transcript has 2 exons. NCBI's taxonomy places the organism in Eukaryota, Metazoa, Mollusca, Gastropoda, Neomphalida, Peltospiridae.
GUCGAGACUCAAUCUCUAAUGACGUCACAGGCACACAAUUUGUAUGGCGUUGUCAUGACGUUACUGUCUCAGACUCUAUUAGAGGCUUGAGUCUAGACUCUAAAAGUUUUAUAAGCACAAGGCCUGGUUUCGCUGAAAGCUGCAUGAUGGUACUUGAGAAGCCGAAGAUAUCUUAGCCAAUAUUGGAUUUCGAACUGGCCCUGAAAAUAACAAGUCUUGACAGGGCCAUGAUACCACCAUUUGUACCAAGUGUGACUGACAUCUGCCUGGGGCAACAUGACUCGACCACACCUAAACUUCUUUCGCCACAGUUUAGGCCCUACCCCUCCCCCCCCCCCCCCCCCCCCCACUCUCCCCGCAUAAAUUUCUGCACGAGCACUUGUAGGCCCUGGGCCCUGGCGUAGCCAGAGAGGAUAAAAACGCUACAGCAAACCCAGACCUGUUAAAUAAAUAUCAGUGUCAUGGGGAAAAUAAAAUAAAUCUGUGGAAAUUCCAGACAAGGCAAGCGCCUCGUCUGCCUCAUGCUUGCUACGCCAUUAAGACCCCUAAUAAUAUUUAAUGAUUCAAUAUUUUAAUAAAAAAUGUAACAGUUAUUUUAAUAAUUUUAUACAAUAAAGAAUUAAAACUGCUUUAAAUUGUUUCGUAUUCAACACAUUGGCUUUUUAGAUACCCUGUCAACACCAUAAUGGAAAGAUUUUAUUCAAUAAAAAGUGGGGUUUUU